CAGUGAUAAACUGGAGGAAGGUGGGGAUGACGUCAAGUCAUCAUGGCCCUUACGACCAGGGCUACACACGUGCUACAAUGGCGCAUACAAAGAGAAGCGACCUCGCGAGAGCAAGCGGACCUCAUAAAGUGCGUCGUAGUCCGGAUUGGAGUCUGCAACUCGACUCCAUGAAGUCGGAAUCGCUAGUAAUCGUGGAUCAGAAUGCCACGGUGAAUACGUUCCCGGGCCUUGUACACACCGCCCGUCACACCAUGGGAGUGGGUUGCAAAAGAAGUAGGUAGCUUAACCUUCGGGAGGGCGCUUACCACUUU
This 311-nucleotide ribosomal RNA is filed under the name Salmonella enterica subsp. enterica serovar Reading. RNAcentral describes it as "bacterial SSU rRNA". It matches the Rfam family "Bacterial small subunit ribosomal RNA", at positions 1153 to 1463 of the family's 1533-position model. The record is from RNAcentral. Lineage: Bacteria; Pseudomonadati; Pseudomonadota; Gammaproteobacteria; Enterobacterales; Enterobacteriaceae.